GAGGGCCUUGUCUGCAUCUUCUAGUUCCUCUGCCAGUCUACCCUUCGAUGACAGGGACUCAAACCAUCCCUCAGAGGGUAAGUAGAUGUUGCAUUGUGCGGCCACUUCCUGUGUCCGUGGCAGCCUUCCCCCUCUCGUUUUCCCACAUUGAUGAUAAUAUGCGUGGGACUGUGUGAAUACACCAGAAGUGCUGUACUCGUUCAGCACAGUGACACCCUCCCUCCAGCUCCAGGUGUUUUUUUUGGGGGGUCCUAGAUGUUGUAGACAUCAAAAUAGUAGUACAUCCUGUUUUUUGUUUGUUUGUUUGUUUGUAUGAGAUGGAGUCUCGCCCUGUCGCCCAGGCUGGAGUGCAGUGGUGUGAUCUUGGCUCACUGCAACCUCCGCCUUCCGGGUUCAAGCACAUCCUGUUUUUAAUCCAUCAUCCAUCGUGUCUAAACCUCUCUUAAACACAUUUCUGUGUUCAGCAUGUACAACCCCUGGUGGGGGCUGGGAGGUGGCAGAUGGGUCCAUAUUACUCUCCCGUUUAUGGAUGAAUGAUGGAUGACUUCCUGGGCCAUGAUUAUUUUUCUCUACAAAGAGCAGUGAUCUCUCUACCCGCUAACUGAUGAAGGCAGUGACUUUGAAGAUAGCUUCAAUCGCAAUGUGAAGAAGAAAGCAGCAAAACGACCACCGAAAACAACACCGGUGGCAAACAACGAAAGAAAGGGUCCCGAGUGGUACAUCGUCAUAGCCGGAAACAGUCAGAGCCACCAGCCAAUGAUCUUUUCAAUGCUGUGAAAGCUGCCAAAAGUGACAUGCAGGUAAAGCCGUGUCUCACCUCUGUUGAUACCAUCUCACUUUUUGUAAGGUGGUAAGGACAAGUGUCUACAAACUUGAUUUGAUGUGAACAUUUCAGUGAAUGUAACAUAUCAAGAAAGAUAAGAUUAUGGGGUGAAUCCUUGGAGUAAUAGAAGGGUAACCUUGAAUGAGAGAGCAUUUUUUUUUUUUUUGAGACAGAGUGGUGCAACUGACCUCCCAGGCUCCG
Molecule: long non-coding RNA, 1024 nt
Filed under: Homo sapiens (human)
Lineage: Eukaryota; Metazoa; Chordata; Mammalia; Primates; Hominidae
Description: HSALNT0342404
Source: RNAcentral